CUGAGAUCCUGCUUGGAAGAAGAAUGCCUCCGUGAAGCAGACGAACCGACGUAGUCGAACGGGUUCUCACAAUCCGGCACGCUGCGAAACUCUAUCGAGACGAAGCAAACCGGAAACACAAAUCAACACACGAUAUUCACCACACGAUGCACAAAACAAAUGAUGCAUGAGGACCUGAAUAUAUGCAAGUCACAGCAUGACAAAUCACGACAAACAAACACUACACAUUAAGUGAAGUUCAAUAUGCUACGAAUUGCAUAUUGACGAAACUCCACGUUUAAUUAUUUAGUUCUAUCCCGAUUAGAUACAUGAAUAUAUUAAAUGUUGUUAAACAUGGCACGAGGGUGAAGCACAAAUUAAUCUACCUAGCUAGGCAUUUUAAAUGAGACCGGAAACGACAUAUAGCACCUCCGAGGCGACCUCACAUGUUAAUUUACAAUUCUGUCCAGAUCUGAACUAAUGCUUUUAGUUAGUUGUUAAACAGAAAAACACAUAGGUUCACGUGAUUCUAUGCGUCAUUUCAAGCAAUCUACCCAUAAAGAACAUCUCCAACGGAGCUACGGACAAAUAGUUACGACCUAAACCGUUUUCAACACGUCGACACGCGAACCGAAGCAAACAACACACUAAACAGUUCUAAUUAUGCAUGAGAGUUGGAAAAUAUUACUCUACGCAAAAUUCUAGCCAAGUUACAUAUUUAAAUCACUCCGAUCCGGUGCACGGUUAAGAAACUACGAGCCCUUGAAAAACAAUGCAUUUUUCUGAAAUUAAAGAAAAAAUUACACGUGCUAAAAAAACCACUACUGGGCCGAAUCUAUGCAAAAGGCUGCAGCCAGCGGAAAUUUUCGGCCCAUGUGCUUGGGUGUGUGGCUGUGCAAAACAAAUACAGAACAUGGCAAAACAUAUUAGGGGCUUGGCUGGGAUUCGAACCAAGGACCUCUUGGUGGCUAGAACUAUGGAUUGACCAGCUUGCCUACUGCAUGUUUGUGACACAACAUGGGAUCGAUGUCAAAUAGCUAAUCCUCUAGUGAUGGAAUAAAAUGACUAAUAAAAUGGUGCUUCUGUGGGGAUUCGAACCCACAACCUCUUCCAUCAAGGCCGGUUGUGCUAGCCAACUCAGCUGGCUGCGUGCUCGUGUUAAAACUUAGUGCCAGAACCUAUUUACCUAAACAUGCUAGGACGGAUCUAGGCAAAGAAAUAAAGCUUCAGUUACGGGUCUCACAUGGGGAAUACAGAUCUCGACAUGGCCGAGUUCCCUCGAUCUGGAGCGAACCAGCAGCGGAAAAGGGAGGCUUGGCGGUGCCAGAUCCGGCCGUUGGGGCUCCAUUCCCGCCUUCAGAGCUUGAUUCGGAGUUGGGGACGACUGGAUCAUGAGCUGCAAGCUCCGGUUCCAUGGCGCGGUGCUGCUGCUCCUGUUGGACAGAGAGAGAGACGAGGUGAGAGAGGAAAAGAGGGAAGGGAGAAGUAGCAGGGCAGGCGGGUUGACACACCUCACCGGCGAUGAGAGGCCGGCGUGAGCGGGACAGAAGGAGCCCAGGCCUCGAACUGCACUGGGACGGAGAGGUUCCCGAGCAGCAGACACACUGACGAGGUCACCAGUACAGCGAGAAGCGAGGUGAAGUUGAAAGCGCAUCGGGGUUUGGUGCAAGCACUCCUGCUAGAGAGGAAUUCCUGGACUACCGGGCGGUCCGGCAAGGUGCCGACAUCGACAAGCUUCGGCUGCGGUGGCUGUUGUUCGAGGCUACGCGCCCAGGAGGAGGACCCGGAUCGAGGCCUAGGGCGCCUGCGGGCUGCGGGGCUUGUCCUGCUUGGAGAGGGGAUGGGAGGAUGGAUGCGGUUGGCCGGUGGCUGAAAACGAGGAGAGGGGUGAAUGGAUCGGGAGGAGGCUGGCUUAGUGCAUUUUUGGAUCGGAAGCCAUCCCGAGAGAGAGGCUGGCGGCGGGUUGGGACAAG
RNAcentral lists this long non-coding RNA (1952 nucleotides) under Hordeum vulgare. RNAcentral's name for it is "long non-coding RNA (HVUL_LNC007095)". The record is from RNAcentral. Lineage: Eukaryota; Viridiplantae; Streptophyta; Magnoliopsida; Poales; Poaceae.